This 2925-nucleotide ribosomal RNA is filed under the name Escherichia coli. Its description in RNAcentral is "bacterial LSU rRNA". It matches the Rfam family "Bacterial large subunit ribosomal RNA". Lineage: Bacteria; Pseudomonadati; Pseudomonadota; Gammaproteobacteria; Enterobacterales; Enterobacteriaceae. The record is from RNAcentral.
GGGUUGUGAGGUUAAGCGACUAAGCGUACACGGUGGAUGCCCUGGCAGUCAGAGGCGAUGAAGGACGUGCUAAUCUGCGAUAAGCGUCGGUAAGGUGAUAUGAACCGUUAUAACCGGCGAUUUCCGAAUGGGGAAACCCAGUGUGAUUCGUCACACUAUCAUUAACUGAAUCCAUAGGUUAAUGAGGCGAACCGGGGGAACUGAAACAUCUAAGUACCCCGAGGAAAAGAAAUCAACCGAGAUUCCCCCAGUAGCGGCGAGCGAACGGGGAGCAGCCCAGAGCCUGAAUCAGUGUGUGUGUUAGUGGAAGCGUCUGGAAAGGCGCGCGAUACAGGGUGACAGCCCCGUACACAAAAAUGCACAUGCUGUGAGCUCGAUGAGUAGGGCGGGACACGUGGUAUCCUGUCUGAAUAUGGGGGGACCAUCCUCCAAGGCUAAAUACUCCUGACUGACCGAUAGUGAACCAGUACCGUGAGGGAAAGGCGAAAAGAACCCCGGCGAGGGGAGUGAAAAAGAACCUGAAACCGUGUACGUACAAGCAGUGGGAGCACGCUUAGGCGUGUGACUGCGUACCUUUUGUAUAAUGGGUCAGCGACUUAUAUUCUGUAGCAAGGUUAACCGAAUAGGGGAGCCGAAGGGAAACCGAGUCUUAACUGGGCGUUAAGUUGCAGGGUAUAGACCCGAAACCCGGUGAUCUAGCCAUGGGCAGGUUGAAGGUUGGGUAACACUAACUGGAGGACCGAACCGACUAAUGUUGAAAAAUUAGCGGAUGACUUGUGGCUGGGGGUGAAAGGCCAAUCAAACCGGGAGAUAGCUGGUUCUCCCCGAAAGCUAUUUAGGUAGCGCCUCGUGAAUUCAUCUCCGGGGGUAGAGCACUGUUUCGGCAAGGGGGUCAUCCCGACUUACCAACCCGAUGCAAACUGCGAAUACCGGAGAAUGUUAUCACGGGAGACACACGGCGGGUGCUAACGUCCGUCGUGAAGAGGGAAACAACCCAGACCGCCAGCUAAGGUCCCAAAGUCAUGGUUAAGUGGGAAACGAUGUGGGAAGGCCCAGACAGCCAGGAUGUUGGCUUAGAAGCAGCCAUCAUUUAAAGAAAGCGUAAUAGCUCACUGGUCGAGUCGGCCUGCGCGGAAGAUGUAACGGGGCUAAACCAUGCACCGAAGCUGCGGCAGCGACGCUGAUGCGUUGUUGGGUAGGGGAGCGUUCUGUAAGCCUGCGAAGGUGUGCUGUGAGGCAUGCUGGAGGUAUCAGAAGUGCGAAUGCUGACAUAAGUAACGAUAAAGCGGGUGAAAAGCCCGCUCGCCGGAAGACCAAGGGUUCCUGUCCAACGUUAAUCGGGGCAGGGUGAGUCGACCCCUAAGGCGAGGCCGAAAGGCGUAGUCGAUGGGAAACAGGUUAAUAUUCCUGUACUUGGUGUUACUGCGAAGGGGGGACGGAGAAGGCUAUGUUGGCCGGGCGACGGUUGUCCCGGUUUAAGCGUGUAGGCUGGUUUUCCAGGCAAAUCCGGAAAAUCAAGGCUGAGGCGUGAUGACGAGGCACUACGGUGCUGAAGCAACAAAUGCCCUGCUUCCAGGAAAAGCCUCUAAGCAUCAGGUAACAUCAAAUCGUACCCCAAACCGACACAGGUGGUCAGGUAGAGAAUACCAAGGCGCUUGAGAGAACUCGGGUGAAGGAACUAGGCAAAAUGGUGCCGUAACUUCGGGAGAAGGCACGCUGAUAUGUAGGUGAAGUCCCUCGCGGAUGGAGCUGAAAUCAGUCGAAGAUACCAGCUGGCUGCAACUGUUUAUUAAAAACACAGCACUGUGCAAACACGAAAGUGGACGUAUACGGUGUGACGCCUGCCCGGUGCCGGAAGGUUAAUUGAUGGGGUUAGCGCAAGCGAAGCUCUUGAUCGAAGCCCCGGUAAACGGCGGCCGUAACUAUAACGGUCCUAAGGUAGCGAAAUUCCUUGUCGGGUAAGUUCCGACCUGCACGAAUGGCGUAAUGAUGGCCAGGCUGUCUCCACCCGAGACUCAGUGAAAUUGAACUCGCUGUGAAGAUGCAGUGUACCCGCGGCAAGACGGAAAGACCCCGUGAACCUUUACUAUAGCUUGACACUGAACAUUGAGCCUUGAUGUGUAGGAUAGGUGGGAGGCUUUGAAGUGUGGACGCCAGUCUGCAUGGAGCCGACCUUGAAAUACCACCCUUUAAUGUUUGAUGUUCUAACGUUGACCCGUAAUCCGGGUUGCGGACAGUGUCUGGUGGGUAGUUUGACUGGGGCGGUCUCCUCCUAAAGAGUAACGGAGGAGCACGAAGGUUGGCUAAUCCUGGUCGGACAUCAGGAGGUUAGUGCAAUGGCAUAAGCCAGCUUGACUGCGAGCGUGACGGCGCGAGCAGGUGCGAAAGCAGGUCAUAGUGAUCCGGUGGUUCUGAAUGGAAGGGCCAUCGCUCAACGGAUAAAAGGUACUCCGGGGAUAACAGGCUGAUACCGCCCAAGAGUUCAUAUCGACGGCGGUGUUUGGCACCUCGAUGUCGGCUCAUCACAUCCUGGGGCUGAAGUAGGUCCCAAGGGUAUGGCUGUUCGCCAUUUAAAGUGGUACGCGAGCUGGGUUUAGAACGUCGUGAGACAGUUCGGUCCCUAUCUGCCGUGGGCGCUGGAGAACUGAGGGGGGCUGCUCCUAGUACGAGAGGACCGGAGUGGACGCAUCACUGGUGUUCGGGUUGUCAUGCCAAUGGCACUGCCCGGUAGCUAAAUGCGGAAGAGAUAAGUGCUGAAAGCAUCUAAGCACGAAACUUGCCCCGAGAUGAGUUCUCCCUGACUCCUUGAGAGUCCUGAAGGAACGUUGAAGACGACGACGUUGAUAGGCCGGGUGUGUAAGCGCAGCGAUGCGUUGAGCUAACCGGUACUAAUGAACCGUGAGGCUUAACCUUACAACGCCGAAG